AGUACCGAGAACACGAGGAUAAUGGAGGGUAAGAGGAUGUUUUUUGGUAGUAAUAUCCCAGCAUCACUCAUGUCAGUGUUCAUGCCUGAGGGGCCUAAGCCGUUGCUACUGCCACCUAGUAUGCCAGUGGAAGGAGUUGUCACAACAGGUGAACCACCACUGGGCAGGCUGGUGGAAGGUGUAUUGGUUGUGGUUGAUACCGGCCUGGUGGCGCCGCUGAAACAAGUAAAUGACAAGAGUUACUUGAAAGAUUCAGACCAAAACAUAGGAAAGUUAUGACAGAUUAAGGUGAAUGAUUCUGGGAAAGUAGUUACGCACGUUGAUAAUCAAAUGAUUAGAUACUUAUGAUAUUUCAACACAGGCCAGGAAACAGAAUUAUUUGCAUAUUUCCUCUCUAGCCUUUCCACCGGUGUUCAACUACUAAACUAGACAUCAACAGCCUUUUGGGAUAUCAUAAAACAAACUAAUUCUCCUUUGCAAUAAAUUUCAAGUCGACCCAUGAAAUCUUUUGAUGCCACUCUAUACGACUUAGCCUAUAUAAUGCGACUGUAGAAUUGAUUUUGUCCAUAGCCCCAAUAUAAGUCUCUUAUUUGCACUAGGUUCUGGUUAAACGAGAACUCAGGCCGUACCAGCUGUUUUGGGGCUGACAGACAAAUUUUAUAGGCCCGACAUGCAUACGAGUUCUGGGCAUGGACUGGCUCCUCACGUACAGCCAGCCAGCCAGCCAGCCAUGCCUACAGUCUUCUUAUAAAAGUCUCUACAUCUGUGUCUCUUCUACAUAUAAUAGGCUGCCUCAUGCUGCCCCGGUCCGGUCAUGGCCUUGGCCAGGACACAUUUGAACACCUUUAGAUAUGGUUAGUUAGGAUGGAGAGGGAAAAGAAAUGAUAAAACAACGUAUGGGAUUUUAAAAUAGAAAAAUGUAAGACGGCACAAAUCUCAAGGGAUCUGGCAUCAAAAGGAUUUGAAAUGGGCUUCUCAAAAAUUACACCCAUUAAUUCCAGUGCCUGCAAGAUUGAUUUGAUUCCUUCAAUAUGGACACAAGGACAGGUCAGUUGUCAGGGGCCAUUAUUUUUGAAAUAGCCACCAUUACUUUUUGACCUAAAAAUCCUUUGAACAGCAAAAGAGUAAAGGGAUAAACAAAGUUGGGUCCAUCUAUCCUUUUGACAAAGUGGCACAGGAAAAACCAAACUAUUUACCAUCUACAGGCAGUAAAAAUGUAAUAAAGAACCAAAUGGAAGCCUUGGAUUCUUCUAUUGCUAAUUAUUGCCCUAUCGUUUCAAGUUGGUAGUGCAAUUAUACAGCCAAUAAAUGGACCAACGGAGUCAAAGGACACCAUCAUAAAUAACAUGAACAAAGCAAGCGGAUAGAAUUAAAAAACUGAAAUAAAGAGAGUAGGGACUCUUGAUUCUGCCAAUAGACUUGAGCAUGUCUCAGUGACUAACACAUUUAAAAUAAGUCACACAUUUAGCACGAGCCACCCAAACAUGCUCUUAGUUCUUUAAGUGCUAUAGCUUUGGGAGCGAUGGAAUAUGGAUAAUAAUUUAGUAAUGCAAAGCGAGUCCUAAAGCUUUGCCAAACAUUAUUUUAGGCCAAAAAAGACUCUGUAGAAUGACAGUGUAGGAGCCCAUAGGCUCGAUACGUAGAAUGACUGUAAAAAACGGGUGUGUCAAGCCAACUCGAAACUGGGUUGUACAAACUUGAUUCGUUUACAAUCUAGUCAAAGGAUUGAAUGAGUGCCCUUAACAUUCAUCAAUAAAAUGCUGAUGCAUUUCCCAAAUAUGUUACUAAAAUGAUAAAGGCAAAGGAAUAUGAUAGCAAAUCAAAAGGAUGAGACUGCAAUGCUUGACAAAGUUAGCCACAUCAAGAAUAGGUUUGCUUUAUCGAUUCUCAUCCCAUUACAGACAAAAUAUGAACGAUUAAAGAUCUUUUCGAAACGGAAUCUAAUAUUCGACACCAAUACAUAAUGAAAUAGCUUCAAUCCCCAAACAAAGUGUUGAUCCGUUGAAAAUUAUACACAACUAAAUCCACAAAGUGCAUGUCUAGCACGUAGUAGUACCGAACAUUGAUCACGUUGACAAUACUAAAAUAGAACAAUUUAAAGUUGGCACUUAAGCAAUGUCCACUCACUGUAGGGAGCAAUUAGCACCUACUUGAUAUUAGUACAACGAUAAAUUUGGAGUUUAUGCGAUGUAAAGUUUUGAUAGAAAAUUUUAGUAAAAAAUAUUAAUAAAUGAAGCAUUUCUUGGCAUCCCAUUUUUCUUGCAACAAGUACAUCUUCUGAAAAAAUAAAAAUGAAAAUUACUUUUCCUAUUAAAAAGGUAGAUUUGAAAUGGAGAUCUGAGUGGGGCCAUCUUGCAGCAGAACUCGAGUAAAGUUGUGUUUUUUAAAUCCACAAGAGCCAAGACAACAUAAGGCUCUCUUAACCAUACAAAAAACAGCAAAUUAAUGCGUGGCUCUCAUGAAAUGACAACAUCGUGUUUCUUAGCUCCCGUUUGAAUCACAUUAUUGCAAAAAUAAAAAUAAAAAAUAUAAUCGUUGUGGAUCUCACACAAAAGAUAAAAAGUUAAAUAUGAUGACUUAAUGUGAUGGAUAACGAUCAUAUUUUUCGUUUUAAUGAAAAAAUAAUAGGGUUCAAACAAAUGAAGCAUUUCUUGGCAUCCCAUUUUUCUUGCAACAAGUACAUCUUCUGAAAAAAUAAAAAUAAAAAUGAAAAUUACUUUUCCUAUUAAAAAAGGUCGAUUUGAAAUGGAGAUUGGAGUGGGGCCAUCUUGCACCAGAACUCGAGUAAAGUUGUAUUUUUUAAAUCCACAAGAGCCAAGACAACAUAAGGAUCUCUUAACCAUACAAAAAACAGCAAAUUAAUGCGUGGCUCUCAUGAAAUGACAACGUAGUAUUUCUUAACCCCUGUUUGAGUCGCAUUAUUGUAAAAACAAAAAUGAAAAAUAUAAUUAUUAUGAAUCUCACAUAAAAAAUAAAAAGUCAAAUAUGAUGAUUUGAUGUGAUGAAUAACGAUUAUAUUUUUUAUUUUAAAGAGAAAAUAUUGGGACUCAAACUGAGCCUUAAUAUGAUCUUUUUAAUUAAUUAAAUUCUUGGAUUUUUUUAUCAAGAUAAUAUAGACAUAUAUGAUAUAUAUCACGUACUAGUAACUCUAUUGUAAAUCAUACCUUGCACUUGCAGGGUAAGAACAGCCAGAUGAGCCUGUAAAUCAACCCAAAGAAGAGACAGUGAAUAGUAGUAAAACUUUCUAUGGUUAAAGACACUCCCAAGUCACAAAAUUUACAGCCAAAUUUCACUUUAAUCACCUAAUCUUCAUUUUUUGUCUCUUCAUCCAUCUCCAGUAAAUUGAAUGUGGCAGACAACAAUGAUUCUAACCCUACUGUACUCGGUGGCAAUAAAACUUUAGCACACAUUCUCACAAACGCGGUGAUCAGUACAAUAAACGAGAUUUUAGCUCUUGUUUUCUUUUAAUAUUCUGCACUAUGAAGUCCAUCUUAACAAACAUGCCAUUCCGGUCUGUAGAGACUUACUGGGAUCAGAUGUGACUGUGUAGGCAGUGCCUGAAAAAUCACAGGCUGUUGGGGUUUGGCCUUUCUUUUGGAAAUAACUGUUGACAGCAUAGUUGCAGUGAGCCCUCACAGUAUUUGGGUUAAAACAAGGUCCAUUUUGGUGGGUGGGGUUGCAAUCAGCCCCUGCACCACAUGCAUAAUCCAGUGUUUUUUGCAAGGCUUGAUCACUCAGUCCCUCCUUGCAAAUGCACCAAGUUGCACCUACCAAAAUACCACAAUAAAUGAGAAGAAAUUUAAACAAUAAGGGCAUGUGUUGGCUAAGCUUUUUUCUUACUUCUUGAAGAUACAAUGCGAGGAUCCUACAACCCAAAAAAGUUAAAAUAAAAGAGAAGAUAAUGAAAAGAUCCAUUUGCAUUCACAUCCACCCAUGUGCAGGAAAAUUUAAGAAAUAAAUUAGAGGAUAAUCAAGAAUGCUUUGCAGUAACGCAUUUUGUUUGGCGUGGUAUUAUGGAAUUUUUUCAGAAACUAGUUUAGUAAACGCAAAAGAACAUCUUAUGAAUUUAUUUAUUUUUUCUCUAAAUGCAUUAUAUUUUAUGCAUAUUUAAGCCUUAGAAAAUAGUAAAAAAGGACAGAAAUUGUAGUUGUAAAAUGCUUACUUGAAUGAGCAGCCAUGGCUAAAAUGAGAACCAGAACCAGAACCAAAAAUCUAGCCAUGAGAAAAGGGAUUACACACAAUGUUGAGAAAGAAAAUGCUGAGAAAUAGAGGAUUGUAAGGAAAUAGAAGACGAGAUGAGUGAGAGAGUAACUGUGUGUUCUGUGUGUCAAUGUGAGAGAGAGAUAUAAAAGGGUGAGGGUGAGAUACAAAAGGGUGAGAGAGAGAUAUAUAAGGGUGUAUUGAAUAUGGUGAAUGCUAGUGGGGAUGCAGGUGGCCCAGGCUGGUAUACACUGCCGGCUUGCUACGUUGUGCUUGUUGUUAUUUGAAUUUAGAGCUUUAUUUAUCCAAAAAAAAAAUGUACGAUAAGGGUAAAAUCGUCUUUAUAAAUUUGUUAGGCAACCGGAACUCAAGUGCUACAAAAAUAGAAUGUUGACGGUAGGACUGUAAGCAAAAAUCGCAAAAUUUAAAAAUCGAAUUGAAAUCGCAUCUUAGAAAUCGUGGGUUUGGUGCCAUGUGGACCAGGUCAACGAAAUGGUUUUGACCCAAACCAAAUCGGUCAAAAUGGUUUGGUUUAGGUUUGAAAAUUUUAAUUGCGGUUUAAAAUCAAACCGGACUGGCGAAAAAAUACAUAAAAAUAAAAAAAUGAAAUUUUUUGAAAAUUCAUCCAAAUAUGUAAAAUUCAAUAGUUUUGUCAUUUGUUAAUAUUUUUGUCAAUUCCUAAUUUUCUAAUAUUGAUAUAUUAUUAUUAUUAUUAUUCAAUAAUCCUAAUAUAUAUUUAAUAAUUUUAAGACUAACAUAAUCUAUCAAAAGUCUUUUUCCUUUUCAAAAUUUAGAUGAAUUUCAGUCGACACCCAACACAGUUUUGAGCCACCGGCACCACACACUUCUUUUCAGAUUUUUCACGCAUUUUCAAAGUUGAAUUGAAGUCCAUUAUACCAAAUCGGAGACAAAGAGAUUCUAGACUUUCGGUGAUAAUAUUUGCUUCAAAUAAAGUUUCAGAUCAAUAAUUUUUUGGAGCAAACUAAGGUAAGAAUCUGAAAUUAAAUGUGUUUCGUAACAUCAUACAAACGUAAACUUGUGUAAUUGUUAUGUUUAGAUAUUAUAAACAAUUGCUUUAUUAUUGUAGUUGGUUAUUCUCUUUGUUUAAUCAAUAUAUUUUUUUCAGAUAUGAUGAUCAUAAAGUCUUGUUGGAUAUCAUUAUGUUUUUUGAACCUUAUAUCUAGUUUAAUAGAUUUGUAUUGUAACGUUAUUGUAUCGUCAUUAGCCUAAAAANNNNNNNNNNNNNNNNNNNNNNNNNNNNNNNNNNNNNNNNNNNNNNNNNNNNNNNNNNNNNNNNNNNNNNNNNNNNNNNNNNNNNNNNNNNNNNNNNNNNNNNNNNNNNNNNNNNNNNNNNNNNNNNNNNNNNNNNNNNNNNNNNNNNNNNNNNNNNNNNNNNNNNNNNNNNNNNNNNNNNNNNNNNNNNNNNNNNNNNNNNNNNNNNNNNNNNNNNNNNNNNNNNNNNNNNNNNNNNNNNNNNNNNNNNNNNNNNNNNNNNNNNNNNNNNNNNNNNNNNNNNNNNNNNNNNNNNNNNNNNNNNNNNNNNNNNNNNNNNNNNNNNNNNNNNNNNGAACAAGUGGUUGCUUAUAUGAGAGACCUAAAGUAAUAUGAUCAAGGGUAUGCAUCAGAAUAGAUUGGUUGUUUCUAUAUGUAGAAAAAGUAGGUCAAGUUUGAUUUUAUUAACUUAGUUUUGGUUGGGACAAUGCAACUACUAGAUUUGAUAAAAUGUGCAUGUGCCAUCAUUUCUUUUCCAUAAAAUGGUGUGUGCAUAUAUAGAAUUUGAAAGCAUUUCUUUCUAGGCAAUUUACAGUAGCGGUGGACGAAACUAUGGAAGAGGUAAAAUUCCUUUACACAAAUGAGACUGUAUUGUGAUUAUAUAAUCUAAAUAUAAUUCUCCCUUGUAUUGUCACAAUAAUUAUCAAACCCAUCAAUAUGAAAUUCCAUUAGUAUGUUCUAUUUCCAAAAAGUAAUCCAUCCUUCAUACUAAUAGUUUGGAAUUUUAUUGGGACACAAUGAAUCUUCAAAUCACAUCUCUCAUCAAUCUUUAACAUUUUGACACGAUAACAUUAUCUUAAAAAUAACACGGCACGGGCGAAUGACUAGUAAAUAAUUCAAUUGAUAAUUAGUUUGUUGGGGGUGGUGAUGUGAGAAAGAAUUUUGGGGUUGUAUCAACUAUCAAUCGGACAUAAGAUUGGAUGAGGAGUUGAAUCCAAACUUUGAUAUACCCUGAUGAUUAUUGGAUGGGUAAAUUAUGUAAAAAUAAUAUGAAAUGUGUACUAAGAAGAUCAAGAUUGUAAUUCAUUUAUCCAUAAACUGAUGAGCAAAUGAAUAGACUUUAUUCUUGCUUAUUAUGAAUCUCUGUGGUAGAAUGACUCGACUAAGAUAAGAUGUUACACAUUCAUUUGCUUGUUGAGCACUAGUGUUCGCCUUGUUGAUAAGGGGCACAUGUGGGAAUCACUUUAUGCCAUUAAGAAGUUGAGCACAGGGUGUACAAUAGUAUGAGCUGUAAGGCACAUACAGGGUAAGACAUGGCAUUUGCAACAUAUCAUGCCUCACAGUUUGCUGAUACAUCAUAAUUUGCUCUCCGAGUAUGUAGUUUGUCCGAGCUCUUAAGUACUAUUAGGUUAGCAUGAGCUCUUAGAUGACGUGACGGAUGAUGCUACAAUGGGAUCGACUGUCGAUAAUGGGUUUGCCAAGAUUGUUGAAGUUACACUUAUUUCUAUAAAUAAGAGAAUGACUUAUUGAUUUAGAUUUAAAUGAGUUUCUUGAGAAUUUUGUUAACGGGAUUAUUUAUUCUUGUACGGUUAUAGCUUUCCAUAUGAUGAGAUCUGUUACAAUUUCUAGUUUGACAUCAAAUUAUCUUAUCAUCCGUUUGAGUGCAAAGAUGAAAUUCAAUUGAAUUGAAAAUGAAUUCUAGGGAAUUGAAUUGUCUAUAAAUUAUUUUUCUGAAAAUUGUAAAUUAUUGUAUUUAAUUGAUAUAAUUUUUAACGUGAAAAAUGUUGAAAUAAAAGUGUUUUUUAUAUUCGUUUGACUUUCUUUUACAUGUAAAUUGUCAAUUAAAAAGAUAAAAUUUACUGAUAUUGGAUAUGAAAUUUGUUUUCAUUGUCAACAAAAAUAAUUAAGAAAAUUCAAAGAAAUCAUCUAUCUUUUAGUAUUCAUUUGACUUUAUUUUACAUGAAAAUUGUCAAUAAAAGGAAAAAAAUUUUUACAAUAAUUCUUAGAAUUUAUUUCCAUUGCCAAAAUAAUAAUAAUAAUAAAUAAAUAAAUCGCUACAGUAAUCAAGAAUUCCAAUUUUCACCAUUUUGGUAAGAAUUCCAAUUCCAUGAUUUCAUGAAAAAUGUUGACGUGAUAGGUAAGUGAGAAUUUUAAUUCCAUGGAAAAUUUUGGACAACCAAACAACCAAAAGUUGGAAAAUCCAUUUUCCAUGGAAAAAGUGGAACAAUCAAACACUACCUUAGUGAAAAAAAUGAUGGAGAAAGGAAUUGUAAGAUUAUAUGGGGGCUGCGACUGAGAUUUGUUAGUGAAAACCCCAUGGGAUUAAAUUAACAGAACUUCAGUUAUUAUAAUGCAUAUGUGGACUAGUAGACAAACUAGAUUGCAAACCAUAAGUACAUAAAAAAACAAAAUUAAGAUUAUCUUAAAAUAUAGAAUCACAUGCAUAUUCAUUUCUGCACAUCGUCACUUUUCUGAUAUGGAUCUUGAAUAGCCUGCACCUCCCAUGAAGAAACAUUCCUCUUUCUUAAGCCCACCAGUAAACAAGUACCGAGAACACGAGGAUAAUGGAGGGUAAGAGGAUGUUUUUUGGUAGUAAUAUCCCAGCAUCACUCAUGUCAGUGUUCAUGCCUGAGGGGCCUAAGCCGUUGCUACUGCCACCUAGUAUGCCAGUGGAAGGAGUUGUCACAACAGGUGAACCACCACUGGGCAGGCUGGUGGAAGGUGUAUUGGUUGUGGUUGAUACCGGCCUGGUGGCGCCGCUGAAACAAGUAAAUGACAAGAGUUACUUGAAAGAUUCAGACCAAAACAUAGGAAAGUUAUGACAGAUUAAGGUGAAUGAUUCUGGGAAAGUAGUUACGCACGUUGAUAAUCAAAUGAUUAGAUACUUAUGAUAUUUCAACACAGGCCAGGAAACAGAAUUAUUUGCAUAUUUCCUCUCUAGCCUUUCCACCGGUGUUCAACUACUAAACUAGACAUCAACAGCCUUUUGGGAUAUCAUAAAACAAACUAAUUCUCCUUUGCAAUAAAUUUCAAGUCGACCCAUGAAAUCUUUUGAUGCCACUCUAUACGACUUAGCCUAUAUAAUGCGACUGUAGAAUUGAUUUUGUCCAUAGCCCCAAUAUAAGUCUCUUAUUUGCACUAGGUUCUGGUUAAACGAGAACUCAGGCCGUACCAGCUGUUUUGGGGCUGACAGACAAAUUUUAUAGGCCCGACAUGCAUACGAGUUCUGGGCAUGGACUGGCUCCUCACGUACAGCCAGCCAGCCAGCCAGCCAUGCCUACAGUCUUCUUAUAAAAGUCUCUACAUCUGUGUCUCUUCUACAUAUAAUAGGCUGCCUCAUGCUGCCCCGGUCCGGUCAUGGCCUUGGCCAGGACACAUUUGAACACCUUUAGAUAUGGUUAGUUAGGAUGGAGAGGGAAAAGAAAUGAUAAAACAACGUAUGGGAUUUUAAAAUAGAAAAAUGUAAGACGGCACAAAUCUCAAGGGAUCUGGCAUCAAAAGGAUUUGAAAUGGGCUUCUCAAAAAUUACACCCAUUAAUUCCAGUGCCUGCAAGAUUGAUUUGAUUCCUUCAAUAUGGACACAAGGACAGGUCAGUUGUCAGGGGCCAUUAUUUUUGAAAUAGCCACCAUUACUUUUUGACCUAAAAAUCCUUUGAACAGCAAAAGAGUAAAGGGGUAAACAAAGUUGGGUCCAUCUAUCCUUUUGACAAAGUGGCACAGGAAAAACCAAACUAUUUACCAUCUACAGGCAGUAAAAAUGUAAUAAAGAACCAAAUGGAAGCCUUGGAUUCUUCUAUUGCUAAUUAUUGCCCUAUCGUUUCAAGUUGGUAGUGCAAUUAUACAGCCAAUAAAUGGACCAACGGAGUCAAAGGACACCAUCAUAAAUAACAUGAACAAAGCAAGCGGAUAGAAUUAAAAAACUGAAAUAAAGAGAGUAGGGACUCUUGAUUCUGCCAAUAGACUUGAGCAUGUCUCAGUGACUAACACAUUUAAAAUAAGUCACACAUUUAGCACGAGCCACCCAAACAUGCUCUUAGUUCUUUAAGUGCUAUAGCUUUGGGAGCGAUGGAAUAUGGAUAAUAAUUUAGUAAUGCAAAGCGAGUCCUAAAGCUUUGCCAAACAUUAUUUUAGGCCAAAAAAGACUCUGUAGAAUGACAGUGUAGGAGCCCAUAGGCUCGAUACGUAGAAUGACUGUAAAAAACGGGUGUGUCAAGCCAACUCGAAACUGGGUUGUACAAACUUGAUUCGUUUACAAUCUAGUCAAAGGAUUGAAUGAGUGCCCUUAACAUUCAUCAAUAAGAUGCUGAUGCAUUUCCCAAAUGUGUUACUAAAAUGAUAAAGGCAAAGGAAUAUGAUAGCAAAUCAAAAGGAUGAGACUGCAAUGCUUGACAAAGUUAGCCACAUCAAGAAUAGGUUUGCUUUAUCGAUUCUCAUCCCAUUACAGACAAAAUAUGAACGAUUAAAGAUCUUUUCGAAACGGAAUCUAAUAUUCGACACCAAUACAUAAUGAAAUAGCUUCAAUCCCCAAACAAAGUGUUGAUCCGUUGAAAAUUAUACACAACUAAAUCCACAAAGUGCAUGUCUA
This 9997-nucleotide long non-coding RNA is filed under the name Olea europaea (common olive). Its description in RNAcentral is "long non-coding RNA (OEUR_LNC006876)". The record is from RNAcentral. Lineage: Eukaryota; Viridiplantae; Streptophyta; Magnoliopsida; Lamiales; Oleaceae.